This is a small nuclear RNA of Microtus ochrogaster (prairie vole), 107 nucleotides long. The record is from Ensembl. Lineage: Eukaryota; Metazoa; Chordata; Mammalia; Rodentia; Cricetidae.
GUGCUCGCUUUGACAGCACAUAUACUAAAAUUGGAACUCUACAGAAAAGAUUAGUUUGGCCCCUGUGCAAGGAUGUUAGGCAAAUUCAUGAAGUCCUCCAUAUUAAA